AGAGUUUGAUCAUGGCUCAGGAUGAACGCUGGCGGUCUGCUUAACACAUGCAAGUCGAACGGAAUCUUUCGGGAUUUAGUGGCGGACGGGUGAGUAACGCGUGAGAAUCUGCCUUCAGGUUCGGGACAACAGUUGGAAACGGCUGCUAAUACCGGAUGUGCCGAGAGGUGAAAGCUUAAGUGCCUGGAGAUGAGCUCGCGUCUGAUUAGCUAGUAGGAGUGGUAACGGCACCCCUAGGCGACGAUCAGUAGCUGGUCUGAGAGGAUGAUCAGCCACACUGGGACUGAGACACGGCCCAGACUCCUACGGGAGGCAGCAGUGGGGAAUUUUCCGCAAUGGGCGCAAGCCUGACGGAGCAAGACCGCGUGAGGGAAGAAGGUCUGUGGAUUGUAAACCUCUUUUGAUCGGGAAGAAGACAGUGACGGUACCGAUCG
Molecule: ribosomal RNA, 434 nt
Filed under: uncultured cyanobacterium
Lineage: Bacteria; Bacillati; Cyanobacteriota
Description: bacterial SSU rRNA
Rfam family: Bacterial small subunit ribosomal RNA
Source: RNAcentral